Molecule: transfer RNA, 65 nt
Filed under: Runaria punctata
Lineage: Eukaryota; Metazoa; Arthropoda; Insecta; Hymenoptera; Blasticotomidae
Description: tRNA-Gly
Source: RNAcentral
ACCUAUGUAAUAUAUAAAAAGUAUAGUUGAUUUCCAAUCAAAAAGUCUAAAUUUUAGUAUAGGUA